UACGAAGGGGGCAAGCGUUGUUCGGAAUUACUGGGCGUAAAGGGCUCGUAGGCGGCCAACUAAGUCGGACGUGAAAUCCCUCAGCUUAACUGGGGAACUGCGUCUGAUACUGGAUGGCUUGGAUUUGGGAGAGGGAUGCGGAAUUCCAGGUGUAGCGGUGAAAUGCGUAGAUAUCUGGAGGAACACCGGUGGCGAAGGCGGCAUCCUGGACCAACAUUGACGCUGAGGAGCGAAAGCCAGGGGAGCAAACGGG
This 253-nucleotide ribosomal RNA is filed under the name uncultured bacterium. RNAcentral describes it as "partial 16S ribosomal RNA". It matches the Rfam family "Bacterial small subunit ribosomal RNA", at positions 524 to 776 of the family's 1533-position model. The record is from RNAcentral.